GGCUGGAAGGGACCUCAAGAGAUCAUCUAGUCCAACUAGGGAACCUGGGACCUUGGUAUUAUUAACACCAUGCUCUAACCAACUCUCAUUCUUUAAAGGUGUCAAGGACCCAGGGACUCAGUGGUGUUGGUGUGGCUCAGGACUUUGCAGAUCUGGGUCUGCAUUUCACUGGCAACAGGACUGGGCCCUUGCUUUGCAAUUUGCAUCUUUGAAAACUUAUGGCAGACUGGGAGAGGUCCUGGAUGACUGAAAAAUGGCAAAUAUAAUGCCCAAUCUUUAAGAAAGGGAAGAAAGAGGAUCUGGGGAACUGCAAUGAUCAGCCUCAUCUCAGUCCCUGGAAAAAUCAUUCAGCAGGUCCUCAAGGAAUCCAUUCUUAUGCACUUGGAAGAUAAGAAAUUAAUUAUGAAUAGUCAGCAUGGAUUCAUCAAAGGCAAGUCAUGCCUGACCAACCUGAUUGCCUUCUAUGAUGAGAUGACUGGCUUUGUGGAUGCAGGGAGACCAGUGGAUGUGUGUAGCUUACAAGGCUUUUGAUACGGUUUCCCACAACAUUCUCACAAGCUAAGGACAUACAGGCUGGAUGAGUGGACUGUAAAGUGGACAGAAACCAGAUUGGAUCAUCAGGCUGAAAGGAUAGUAAUCAAAGGCUCAAUGUCUAGUUGGCAGGUGGUAUCAAGUGGAGCGCUCCAGGAGUUGCUCCUGCGGCUGGUUUUGUUUAGUAUCUUCAUCAAUGACUUGGAAGAUGAGAUGAAGUGCACCCUCAACAAGUUUGCAGAUGACAUCAAACUGGGGGGAGCAGUAGAUAUGCUGGAGGGUAGGGCUAGGAUUCAGAGUGACCUAGACAAAUUGGAGGAUUGGACAAAAAAUAAACUCAUGACUUUCAAUAAGGAGAAGUGCAAAGUCCUGCACCAAGGAUGAAACAAUCCCAUGCACUGGUACAGGCUGGGGUCCAACUAGCUAAGCAGCAGCUCUGCAGAAAAGGACCUGGGGGUACAGUAGGCAAUAAGCUGAAUAUGAGCCAAUAGCAUGCCCUUGUUGUGAAGAAAGCUAACGGCAUACUGGGCUGCAUUAGUAGCAGUACUGCUAGAAGAUCAAGGGAAGGGAUUCUUUCCCUCUAUUCAGCACUGGUGAGGCACAUCUGGAGUAAUGUGUCCAGUUUCAGGCCCACCACUACAAAUGUGUCCAGAUAUGGAUAAAUUGGAGUCCAGCCCCCAAUUAAAAUGGUUAUGGGCCUGGGGCACAUGUCUUCUGAGGAGAGGCUGAGGGAACUGAGCUUAUUUAAGUCUAGAGAAGAGAAGGCUGAGGCAGGAUUUAAUAGCAGCCUUUAUCUUCUUGAAGGGUGGUUCCAAAGAGGAUGGAGAGUUCUCAGUAGUGGCAGAUGACAGAACAAGGAUCAAUGGUUUCAUGUUGCAGCAAGAGGAGUUUAAGAUAGAUAUCACUAGGAGGGUAGUAAAGCACUAGAACAGGUUACCCAGAGAGGUUAUAAAAAACAUCCAAGGAUGGAAAUUCAAUAUCUGUCUAGACAAAGCCUUGGCUGUGAUGAUCUAGCUGGGGAUGGGUCUUGCUUUGAGCAGGGGGUUGGACUAAAUGACCUCCCUUUUGGGAGAAAAACUGUUUACUAGGGCACCCCAGGGGAGGACAAGCAGCAAUGGCCAUAAACUGUUAGAGGAUGGUUUCAGGUUGGAUGUAAAGAAGAACUUUUUUUUUUUUUUUUUUUUUUUUUUUUUUUUUUUUUUUU
Molecule: long non-coding RNA, 1735 nt
Organism: Alligator mississippiensis (American alligator)
Lineage: Eukaryota; Metazoa; Chordata; Crocodylia; Alligatoridae
Exons: 2
Source: RefSeq, a predicted model, not a curated record